This 1981-nucleotide ribosomal RNA is filed under the name Veillonella sp. Its description in RNAcentral is "partial 23S ribosomal RNA". It matches the Rfam family "Bacterial large subunit ribosomal RNA", at positions 1 to 2005 of the family's 2925-position model. Lineage: Bacteria; Bacillati; Bacillota; Negativicutes; Veillonellales; Veillonellaceae. The record is from RNAcentral.
AAGAAAGUAAGCAAGGGCAGACGGUGGAUGCCUUGGCUCUCGGAGGCGAUGAAGGACGUGAUAAGCUGCGAUAAGCUUGGGGUAGGUGCAAAUAACCUUUGAUCCCAAGAUUUCCGAAUGGGGCAACCCGGCUGGUAGAAGGCCAGUCAUUCCGUAAGGAAGGCGAACGUGGGGAACUGAAACAUCUAAGUACCCAUAGGAGAAGAAAACAAAAGUGAUUCCGCAAGUAGUGGCGAGCGAACGCGGAACAGCCCAAACCGAUGAUGUUUAGGCAUUGUCGGGGUAGUAGGACCACGUUGUGGCAAGAGAUUAAGGAAGUAGAACGUUUUGGAACAAACGGCCGUAGACGGUGAAAGCCCAGUAUACGACUCUUUAACGAAGCCUAGUGGUAUCCUGAGUAGCGCGGAGCACGAGAAAUUCUGUGUGAAUCAGCGGGGCCCAUCCCGUAAGGCUAAAUACUCCCGAGAGACCGAUAGCGAACCAGUACUGUGAAGGAAAGGUGAAAAGCACCUCGAACAGAGGAGUGAAAUAGUUCCUGAAACCGUCUGCCUACAAGCGGUCGGAGCACAUUAAAGUGUGACGGCGUGCCUUUUGCAUAAUGAACCUACGAGUUACUUUCUCCGGCAAGGUUAAGGGCUUCAGGCCCGGAGCCGAAGCGAAAGCGAGUCUUAAUAGGGCGUGAUAGUCGGAGUGAGUAGACGCGAAACCAAGUGAUCUACCCUUGGUCAGGAUGAAGGUUGGGUAACACCAACUGGAGGUCCGAAUGGGUAUACGUUGAAAAGUGUUCCAAUGAACUGAGGGUAGGGGUGAAAGGCUAAUCAAACUUGGAGAUAGCUCGUACUCCCCGAAAUGCAUUUAGGUGCAGCCUUUAUUUAGUAUAGCAUGAGGUAGAGCGACUGAUUGGAUGCGAGGGCUUCACCGCCUAUCAAGUCCAGAUAAACUCCGAAUGCGUGCUAUAUAUUGAUAAGGAGUGAGGGCGCGGGUGCUAAGGUCCGCGUCCGAGAGGAGAAGAAUCCAGACCAUCAGCUAAGGUCCCCAAAUAACAGUUAAGUUGAACUAACGAAGUCGGACUGCAGAGACAGCUAGGAUGUUGGCUUGGAAGCAGCCAUUCAUUUAAAGAGUGCGUAACAGCUCACUAGUCGAGGAGUCCGGCGUGGAUAAUACUCGGGCAUAAACUGUUUACCGAAGCUAUGGAUGUAGAAAUACAUGGUAGGGGAGCAUUCCAACGGCGUCGAAGGUGAAGGAUGACCUUUGCUGGAGCUUUUGGAAACGCAAAUGUAGGUAUAAGUAACGAUAAAGGAGGUGAGAAACCUCCUCGCCGAAAGACUAAGGUUUCCUGAUCAACGUUAAUCGGAUCAGGGUAAGUCGGGACCUAAGGUUAAGCCGAACGGCGAUACCGAUGGAAGAAUGGUUUAAUAUUCCCAUACUACUUUAUGGAGCGAUGUGGAGACGGAGAAGUGAAAGUCCUGCCAUCUGACGGAAUAGGUGGUUGAAGAGUGUAGAUGUAGAUUCCUGUAGGCAAAUCCGCAGGGAGAGUCGACCUUGAUAGUAUGCCGCGUGCUUGCACAAGGCAAAAUGGACGUAAUCAGGCUCCCAAGAAAAUCCGCUAAGCAUAUUCAUAAAGUACCCGUACCGUAAACGGACACACGUAGUUGGGUUGAAAAUACUGAGGCGCUCGAGUGAUUCACGGUUAAGGAACUAGGCAAAUUGACCCUGUAACUUCGGGAUAAAGGGUCCCUACUGAGAGGUAGGGCGCAGAGAAUAGGUCCAGGCAACUGUUUAACAAAAACACAUGGCUGUGCGAAAUAGAAAUAUGAAGUAUACAGCCUGACACCUGCCCGGUGCUGGAAGGUUAAGAGGAGAGCUCAUCGCAAGAGAAGGCUUGAAUUGAAGCCCCAGUAAACGGCGGCCGUAACUAUAACGGUCCUAAGGUAGCGAAAUUCCUUGUCGGGUAAGUUCCGACCUGCACGAAUGGUGUAAU